Molecule: long non-coding RNA, 4931 nt
Organism: Eubalaena glacialis (North Atlantic right whale)
Lineage: Eukaryota; Metazoa; Chordata; Mammalia; Artiodactyla; Balaenidae
Exons: 3
Source: RefSeq, a predicted model, not a curated record
UCUGAUUGGUCACGCUAUCUAUCUGCUUCUGCUCCAGGUCUCGCCUGGGGGACUGCGAGGUCCCGGCCCGCUCGGGUCCCGGUCCGCGGGGCUGCGGCUGAGGGCCGGAGCGCGCGGCGGAGACUGGGCCGUCCGGAAUGACUGCCCUGCGCAACAGCGGCAGGUCCCUGGAGGUCCGCCCCGGAGGCACCGGCUAGUCCGGGCUGAGCGCUCCGGGCCGGUGGCCGUGACGAGUGACGUCCCCAGGGGACCUCCGGGGUGCCGCCCAACUCCGCGGUGAAGCCAAGGGUUCCCAAGCCCCUGCCCGCCUGGACCCAGAGUCACACCCGAGACUGCAGACAAACUCGCGAGCUCGCCCGUGGCCGGGGCUGUUCCGUUCCCGCCGCCCCGAUUCCACACCAACUUCAGGGAGACGCCUCGGAACCUCCUGCUGGGGCCCCAGCAUGGUGCCCCAGACCUCGUGUGAACCAGCUCCGCCCCUGCCGGCGCUGUGACCUCGGGGAAGCCCUCACCCCCCUCCAGCUCAGGGUCCUCUUCCCUGCCAUGAGCAAUGACACUGCCUUCUGUGUGGGGUGGGGGGUCCCACGGACAACGGGGACAACGUGGCGAGGGCCUGGUAGGUGCUCGGCGCCCUGGAGCCCCCUCCUGCAGCCUGACGGCUUCCCUUCCACCUGGACCCACCUGGGGUCUUCCCCACGUGGCCUGCUGGCAGAGCGGGCCCCUGUUCCCAGCCUCCUUCCCAGCUACCUGGGAGACCUGACCUGAGCCUCCCCUCUUCCCCAGGCCCAGGCCCUCCUGCCCCAUCUCCUGGCCGCCUCACCCCACUGUCCUACCCCUACUCUGGAAUCUGGUGGGACUGGGUGUUUGAGGGCCUGUGAGUGCCGGGCUCUGUGCCCUGCUGCCUGCCCUGCCUGAGCUCACAGCAGAGGGAACAUCUGGUGGGUUCCAGUGGUUCAGCAGGUCAGUGCGGGAGGGUCAGUGGCCCUCCCAGCCCUGGCAACCUUGCCUCUGCCUCACUCUUGGGCUGCGUGGCCUCCUGGACCUCCCUAGGCCCAUCCGGUACCUGCAGGUGCCGCUGGAGCGCAGGGUCCACGUGGCCCUGAUGCAUGGGAGCUGAGCUUGGCCCCUUCCUGGCCCCUCCCUGCAAAGAAGACUCAGCCGACAGCCAGGCUGCACCAUCCUUGCAGGGCGGGCCUAGGCCCUGUGGGCCGCAGUGCGAGUGCGCAGCCCGCUAGAGCGCAGGGCCGGCCCACGGUCGUCCAGCGCAUGCCUGAGUCGGCCCUGGUGCGCUCCGGCCUCGGUGUGUUGAGGUUGGCCUGGCCGCCAUCGCUGUACCACCAGACGGUGCCUGAGGGCUCGCGGCUGCAGCUGGCAGAGGUGUGGGCCAUCGGCGCAGGGCGUUCAGCCAUCGGGCGUGUGGUGCAGCGUGCUGAAGCCACAGCCCUCCUGGUUGUGGGCGCCGCCAGAGCCCUGGAACGUGUCCCCUGUACGGUGUCCCCUGUGCAGCCCUUCAGCCGCACCCCCAUCAUGGAUCCUGGCCAUCUGGGCCCCCCGGCAGGUAGUCCAGGAGGAACAUCCUUUCCCGGAGAGCUGAGGCUGGCAGAAGUAGGCUGAGAAGUUGGGGACUCUGGGGUCCCAACCUUCUCCCCAGCCCCUAGCCCGGGAAGCAUGUCAGCAAACCGCGAUGCUUGUGGGCAGGGGGUUGGCACGAGAGCCCCCAGCCCUCCCAGGCACUCACCUGUGGCCCUGAGUACAGGCCGAGAGGUAGAGCCAAUAAAACCGGUCUCCCUGGUUCACGCGGAAGCUGUCAGAGCGGGCCCGCAGCGAGUGGUCACCCACGUCCCGCAGAUCCACCGUCAGCUCGGUGGGCAGGCCAGGCUGGGAGGUCAGGCCCAAGAUGUGUUCCAGCCCCGGCCAGUGGUCACCUGCGGGGAGUGGGGCACCCAGGCUCAGGCCUGCCCUGUGUUCUCAACAAGGCCCUGGGGCCCUGGCUGCACAGCCUUCCUACCUCCCCCGUCUCCAAAGCCCUCUUUGUACUCCUGCCGGCACCUCUCAAAAUCCAGCAGCCUCUCCCCGCCCCAGUCUUGACUCUGAAUCACCGUCCAACCACUGUCUGCGCGCUUGUCACAGAACCUGGGGUGGGGUGGGCACGUCAGCGCCUCCUGUGCUGGCUGUGCCUGGCGGAUCGCAGGGGCCUGCCUCUCCACGGUCCAGGGGGGAGGGAUGUCCGCUCUCCCCUAAGCACUCUUUAUAUGUUUGAAAAAUGAAACCUUGGUUUUCUGCUUGUCAGUGUAAUACAAACUUGCAUUGGAAUACGUUUAAAUUCUCAGAAAUAGGGUGAAGAUUUAAAGUAACUCUCCAGGCCUCAGGCUGAUGGCUUCAAUUUAAUGGAUGUUAUUUUAUACUUAACUUGUAUUCUGGGCAUCUUUCUUUGUUCCCCUGGAAGUAGACUUCUCCUCUCCUUUCCUGACUGUGGCCAGCGCUCAGAGAGCAUCUCUGUCUGGCCUGGCGCGGCCCUUCCCUCCCAACCGCCAACGGUAACAUCUGUUUUUGCCAAAGUGAUACACGAACUGCAGGCUGCUCUCCUGGACGGGGCACUGGGUGCUCUGGCUGGCUGGCGUACACACCACUGGGGCCCUCUGGUUCUCCACCCAGAUCUGAGAGCAGUCCCUCCCUGGGGAACACUCGGGCCAGGAGGGGUCGGAGUUCUCCAGGUGACCAGACCCAGAGCCUGAGAAGGGCCCAUGGACAAUCCAGCAGAUGACUUAUAACCUUGGUCCUGGCAGACGGGCAGCCACUGUCCUCUCACCUUGGGCCACACCUGCCUCAGGCCUCUUCCCUUCUGGAAGUGGCUGGCCUUCAGGCUCCUAGCAUUUGCUGGCCCCCAGCCCUCAGUCAGACCCUCGAUUCCUUCCGCUGCCCCUGGACACCACCUCUCCCUGUGGGUCCAACAUGGCCUUCACCUGCUGCCCUAGGAGGGUCUGCCUUGGCUUCCCCGCCUCCCUCCCCCGGCCCAGCUGGCCCCCCUAACACCAGCCUGGAGGGGGCCUGGUCCUUGUCUGCCCCUCCCCCAGGCUGUUCAGGGCAGGUACCCAGGUGGGUCCUCACGGGGAGUGAGAAGCCUGCAGGGUGCAGACCUGUGGGUAACAGCUCAGAGGCCACCCAGCCAGCAUGCACCGGGCCCCUCCCACUGCCCCACACCCGGCCAGACCUUGGGGUUCCAGCAGGACCGCCUGGACCUGUGGAGAGAAGACCGCGGGCAGAGGGAAGUUCAGUAGCCCCGGGAGCCCCUGGCCCACCAUGGGCCUGCCACCCACUCCUACCGGCCUUUGACAAUGUACCUCAGAGCUGGCCCAGGGCAGAGGGACGCAGAAGAGCCCCGAGACCCAGCGCAGGGCGGCGGCCAUGCUUCCUGGGGGGGCAAACACUGUGGAGAAGCGCCACCCCGCCGGCCUCCUGCCGUGCCCCCGGGGCAGCCCACACGCCUCUCCAUGCUCAGUCGCCUUUCUGGGCAGAUGUGAGCCGCUGGUCCCCACUGAGUUUUGUUCAAGCUGCUGGGCUCGCUCCCACCUCCUCCCCUCCGGCGUGCCAGGGUGGGGGGCUGAGCAGGGAGGGGAGCCCCAGGGUGUGGACUAGGAGGGCAGGGGUCCACAAGGGAUGGGUGGGUGCCACCAACAUCCUGAUGCCCUUCCCCAUCCUCCCUGUACUUGAGUCCCAUUCCCGCACAUUUCACAAAACAGGCUUCCAAAAUUAAAUUUUAUUUCAGUCUCUAAGGGACGUGUACACGAGCGUGUGAAUGACAAGGACAUGGCCCAGCCCAAGGCUCCCCGGCCCAGAUUGUGGCCGUGGGUUUCACCUGAUUUAGACACUGAGUCAACACAGACACAACCAAACGUGGCCCUGGGCCCCUGACGGGAUGCACAGAUGCUACGUCGAAAACAGGUGACCAGGACACGACGCAAACAGGUCCCACCACCAGCUGCACAGGAAGCAGGUUCAACCGCCCGCGGGCCAGGCAGGUUCCACCCCGAGACGGUGGCGGCCCUGGGCCCCCCACGGCUGGAGGUAGACCACGGGGGCAGCCGGACGGGCAGCGGUUGGAGGUCAGCCUGGUUGCCCAUGGCCGAAACUGACCCUCGCCACACCCCUGUCUUCCUGGGACCGAGACUCCAAGAGAAAGAUGUUCUCUGUCCCAACCAGAUUUAAGGCUAGUAUUUCCUGACAUUUGUUUCAGUUUGUUUUAAGUUAAAAUUACCUGAGUAGAAAAGUUUCAGACGCUUUUAAGAGCCAGAAACACACAACCUCUAUAGGCACAGCUGUUGCUGGCGCUCACCCGGGGCCACCGCCCCCUCAGGGGGCGCCAAGGAGCCACGCGAAGGGCUGCACGGGCCAAGCUGCCCUUCGCCAGCGUGCUGGCCCGGCACCCCCGCGAGGCGCCCCCUGCGACGCGGAGAGAAGGCACAGUGAGGUAGGGGCUGGCCGGCUGCGGCCCACCGCGCCUCACCCCUCCCCCGCCAGCUCAUCCCGGGCCGGUGAACUUCCUAGCGGCCCGCAGGGAGAGGGUGGAGGGGGGCUGCUGGGAAGCCCGAGCUCAGACAGUGAAAUAAUUCUUUAUUUGGGCGGGUUGGGAGAGGGCAGGCGAGGCUAGGCUGGACCCCCAUGGGGGGUGGCACCCAGGAGCUCCUCAGGGGGCCGGCCCCCCAUGCCCCUCGGCCGUGUCACAGGAGCAGCUGUGGGCAGCCCCCUGGACGGACGUGGUGGCUCCCUCUGUCCUUCCUACUUGUGUGGCCAGGCCUCGGAGGCCCUCUGCAGGCAGUACUGGGCGGCAGGCAGUGACAAGACCAGGCUGCUGGCACGGCGCCCCAUCCAGUACAGGCCGUAGCCCAGGAGGCCCAAGAAGGUGGCCUUCACGGCCAGCCAGGACACUCUGC